GAAAGAUCAAUAGGAGUUACAAUAUGUAUGUACAGUAACAUCUAAAAUUGAUCACACGUUAAGUGGAAAAAAAUAUUGAGAGCCACUGUUGAAGCAUCAACAUCUUUCUGAGUUAAUAUAGUUUAUAGCCAGAGUAUAACUAAUCCUUUCUACUAUAAAACAGAGAACAACAGUGAGAAACAACUGAAUGGAACAAUCAAAAUUUUGAACUUCAAGUAAAUGGGAUGUUAUCAAACUACUCACCACAGCAAAAAAGAGAUGGAGAAAUAUGACCACAAGUGAGAACUGAAAUGCUGAAUAUGCCCAAACAUACUCUCUGCGUGCUGCAAAAAUAAAAAUAAAAAUAAAUUGUGGUCUAAGAAUUCAAGGCAACUAAUUAUUGCAAUCGCUCUGAUAAACUUGAUUACCUAAGACAACUGAAAGCACUGAUCCCAACAGGCCCAAGGUUAAUGAAAAUGGUGCAGCAAUCAUAAUUGCAUGAGAUCUCAUCUCAUUAACCUAUGAUAGAGGAAAAACCAAUUAUCAACAUGAUGUCAAGAAAGAAAGGAUGAAGAAGAAGUANNNNNNNNNNUGACAAUACAUAUAACUAAAUCUAAAAGUCUGGAUGUAUCAUGCUAUAAGAGAAUGAAUGGUAAACAGUAGAUUCAGGAAUCCAGAUUUAAACAUUUGACAAAGACAGCAUUUUGCAGUCUCUGUUUAGGAAUUCAAUUAAUCUCACUUCAGUUGCAUGCCCUUUAGAUGGCAAAUACUGCUUUGAGUGAGUGAGACAGAGAGAGAGAUGCCCUUUAUCCAACAUUAACCUUUGGAUAGUGCAUGUGCCAUGCACCACAAUUCUGCAAGAAUAUUUACCUUGCUGCCACCAUGGCAUGACUUCUGAUGCACAUGAAUGGAUAGAAAAUCAACCUGGCUGCUAGCUCUCACAUACACACUUUUAUAUACAGAGAGUUGAAUAAGAAUUUUAUUAGGAUGAUUAAAAGCAUAAGCCUAUUAACACAAAACCAAAGAUGGAGCACCUAAAUUGAAAAUCCACACCAUUAAAUAUGAUUUACAAGACCUAAAACAUAUAGAUACCAAAAAUCAAAUGAUUUGGAGAUUUCCUACUUAUGCAUCAAAUGGUCAUGAAAUUGGCAAUGGAAAUGCAACAUCUCAACAUGCUGAUAUGAUUUGUGGUUUUGAAGAAUCCACUUUUAAAGAUUUUUUUUAAACAUGAUUUAAGAUCUUUAAAAGAUGAUUAAUGGACCAGACAUCGAUUUUUGUGACCUAAGAUACAUUGACCUAAGAUACAUUUUAGCACGUUGACUUUACCAGUAACAUCCAUUUUGUCUGUUAACCAAAAAAAAAAAAAUCCACUUUUGUUGUUAUUUGAUACAUAGGUAAGAAGCUCCAAAAGCAUAUAAUUAUUUUGAUAUUUUAAAUAUUAGGGGUUAUAAUUAACAAUGCUGAUCCUCAAUCUUUUAGAAUUUUAAAUAUGAGAGAUCAUAAUAAAUCAGUUAUUUUUUUUUAAAUUAAAAGCUAACAUGUUUAUAUUUUAGACUCUUCUCACUUAUUUAUUUUAUUUGACAGCAGUUUAUCAUUAAUACAUAAAUUCGAACAUAAUUGACCUUUUCCAAACAACUUUAGGAAAUCUUAAAUUUUCAACCUUUCUGAAAGCCAAAUCCAUCAAGUAUCUCAUGCUGAAAUUCUUUGGAGAAACUGACUUUGGCUAAAAUUUAAUUCUGACACUUACAUGAACUAGAAGGUUGGGCCACUAUUAUGCUUAACUUAUAUAACCAUCUUUGAUGGUACUUGACAUUUUAUAAGUUGCGGAGUUGAGGCAAUGCUUUUAGCAAAUGUAGUAAAGCUUAAAUUGAAUUUCUCCAAUAAUAAAUUUCCUAAUCAUUAUGUUUCACAAAAAUGCAUCUUUUUUUUUG
This 1910-nucleotide long non-coding RNA is filed under the name Phoenix dactylifera (date palm). RNAcentral describes it as "long non-coding RNA (PDAC_LNC009118)". The record is from RNAcentral. Lineage: Eukaryota; Viridiplantae; Streptophyta; Magnoliopsida; Arecales; Arecaceae.